GACGGACCCGCACAAGCGGUGGAUCAUGUUGUUUAAUUCGAUGAUACGCGAAGAACCUUACCAGGUCUUGACAUCCCCCGCGAUGCUUUAGAGAUAAAGCGGAGGUAUUCGGGGAGACAGGUGGUGCAUGGUUGUCGUCAGCUCGUGUCGUGAGAUGUUGGGUUAAGUCCCGCAACGAGCGCAACCCCUAUUGCUAGUUACCAUCAUUAAGUUGGGGACUCUAGCGAGACUGCCAGUGAUAAACUGGAGGAAGAUGGGGAUGACGUCAAAUCAUCAUGCCCCUUAUGACCUGGGCUACAAACGUGAUACAAUGGCUGGAACAAAGGGAUGCGAAGCAGUGAUGUGGAGCGAAACCCAUAAAAACAGUCUCAGUUCGGAUUGAAGUCUGCAACUCGACUUCAUGAAGUCGGAAUCGCUAGUAAUCGCGGAUCAGAACGCCGCGGUGAAUACGUUCUCGGGGUUU
RNAcentral lists this ribosomal RNA (463 nucleotides) under uncultured Acholeplasma sp. RNAcentral's name for it is "bacterial SSU rRNA". It matches the Rfam family "Bacterial small subunit ribosomal RNA", at positions 920 to 1378 of the family's 1533-position model. The record is from RNAcentral. Lineage: Bacteria; Bacillati; Mycoplasmatota; Mollicutes; Acholeplasmatales; Acholeplasmataceae.